ACAGGUUUGUCCAAAUUAAAGAUACCAUAAAUUCUAGUCAUGCCAGAGACGUUGGUCCUACAGAGCCAGAAGGACUCGUCAAAUGAGAUAACAAGGGCUGAAGCCAGUUGGAUCUAAAGUGCCAAGUUAUUCGUUAUCAGGUGUUCCUGGACAGUUUUGAAACCGAGAUGUCUGAACGCCUCAAAUAAUCAGCAGUAAAGACAACAGAGACAAAUUCUCUAAUACCAAGGUCAAUGCAUUUGACUGCUGUCCAGCCCCGGGUUGCUACCGAAAACUUUAUGCAUCUUGGACUGGAAGAUGGUGUGCUAGUAAGGAAGCUAGCUACCACAGCUUUUGCCACCACAUCUCAGUGUUGGGAAGGAAGUUCACUCACUGCACAACUCUACCAGCUGUACCUUUCCUCCUCAGCCAUGAUCCGUAACCACCAUGGUUUUCUUUCUGGGCCAGAAGACUUUGCAAACAAAUAAGCAAUAAAUGAUCAUGCAUUACAAAUUUAGCCAUGUUAGACUGUUAAGUUG
Long non-coding RNA from Alosa alosa (allis shad), 518 nucleotides. RefSeq lists it as uncharacterized. The transcript is spliced from 3 exons. NCBI's taxonomy places the organism in Eukaryota, Metazoa, Chordata, Actinopteri, Clupeiformes, Clupeidae. The record is from RefSeq and is a predicted model, not a curated record.